Molecule: ribosomal RNA, 390 nt
Filed under: uncultured bacterium
Lineage: Bacteria
Description: bacterial SSU rRNA
Rfam family: Bacterial small subunit ribosomal RNA
Source: RNAcentral
GACGAACGCUGGCGGCGUGCUUAACACAUGCAAGUCGAGCGGUAAGGCCCUUUCGGGGGUACACGAGCGGCGAACGGGUGAGUAACACGUGGGUGACCUGCCCUCGGCUCUGGGAUAAGCCUGGGAAACCGGGUCUAAUACCGGAUAUGACUCCAUGACGCAUGUUGUGGGGUGGAAAGCCUUGUGCGGCUGAGGAUGGGCCCGCGGCCUAUCAGCUUGUUGGUGGGGUGAUGGCCACCAAGGCGACGACGGGUAGCCGGCCUGAGAGGGCGACCGGCCACACUGGGACUGAGACACGGCCCAGGACUCCUACGGGAGGCAGCAGUGGGGAAUCUUGCGCAAUGGGCGAAAGCCUGACGCAGCGACGCCGCGUGAGGGAUGACGGCCUGG